AGAAAAUGGUGAAAUGAAAGAAUGAAUAGAUAAGGAUAGUUAUAUGUCCUAAAAGAAGCAAAUUGAUAUUUUGGUCCCUGACCGAAAAGUUACAUUCUGGUCCCUAUUGGAUAAAUUACCAGUUUACUCCCUAGAGGGCAAAAACAGUCGAAUGACAUCCCGAAGCGGAAAUUAUUAAGAAAAUAAAGCUUAUGCAAGUUCAAUACCCGAAAGUGGG
Molecule: long non-coding RNA, 217 nt
Filed under: Ricinus communis (castor bean)
Lineage: Eukaryota; Viridiplantae; Streptophyta; Magnoliopsida; Malpighiales; Euphorbiaceae
Description: long non-coding RNA (RCOM_LNC001362)
Source: RNAcentral